GAGUUUGAUCGUGGCUCAGGACGAACGCUGGCGGCGUGCUUAACACAUGCAAGUCGAGGGGGCUACUUCGGUAGUCACCGGCGAACGGGUGCGUAACACGUGAGCGACCUGCCCCACCGGUGGGGAAUAGUCGGCCCAACGGCCGGGUAAUACCGCAUUCGCUCUCUUCGAGGCAUCUCGAGGAGAGGAAAGCUCUGGGCAACCAGGGCGCCGGGGGAGGGGCUCGCGGCCUAUCAGCUAGUUGGAGGGGUAACGGCCCACCAAGGCAACGACGGGUAGCUGGUCUGAGAGGAUGGCCAGCCACAUUGGGACUGAGAUACGGCCCAGACUCCUACGGGAGGCAGCAGUGGGGAAUAUUGCGCAAUGGCCUAAGGGCUGACGCAGCGACGCCGCGUGUGGGAGGACGCCCCUAGGGGGUGUAAACCACUGUUGCCCGGGACGAAUCCUGGAUUAGCUCCAGGUUGACGGUACCGGGUGAGGAAGCACCGGCUAACUCCGUGCCAGCCGCCGCAGUAAC
This 517-nucleotide ribosomal RNA is filed under the name uncultured Gemmatimonadota bacterium. RNAcentral describes it as "bacterial SSU rRNA". It matches the Rfam family "Bacterial small subunit ribosomal RNA", at positions 9 to 524 of the family's 1533-position model. The record is from RNAcentral. Lineage: Bacteria; Pseudomonadati; Gemmatimonadota.